Benincasa hispida (wax gourd) is the source of this 1402-nucleotide RNA transcript. It is a transcript of the gene named Aldolase-type TIM barrel family protein, with no coding region annotated. The record is from RefSeq and is a predicted model, not a curated record. NCBI's taxonomy places the organism in Eukaryota, Viridiplantae, Streptophyta, Magnoliopsida, Cucurbitales, Cucurbitaceae.
UCCAAAUUUCCAAAACCUAAGUCCGAGUCUUGUCCUCAGUUUUCCGGCCUACAGUUCACCAGAAGAGAAGAAGAAGUAGUUGCUCGAUUUUCUGGUCCGACCGUCUCCGAUUAAGAUGGACUACGAGAACAAACUCGUCCUCGCUCCUAUGGUUCGCGUUGGAACGUUACCGUUUAGAUUAUUAGCUGCACAAUACGGUGCAGACAUCACCUAUGGAGAGGAAAUUAUCGACCAUAAGAUGAUCAAAUGCGAGCGUAGAUUAAAUGAGCAUCUUGGUUCAACUGAUUUUGUAGAGAAGGGGACAAACAAUGUUGUUUUCAGGACCUGCAGCCUAGAAAGAAAACGAGUUGUUUUUCAAAUGGGUACUUCUAAUGCUGCGAGGGCUCUAAGUGCUGCUCAAAUACUGUGUCAAGACGUUGCUGCAAUAGAUAUCAACAUGGGUUGCCCUAAGUCAUUUUCCAUCAGUGGGGGCAUGGGUGCGGCAUUAUUGAAUAAACCUGACCUUAUUCAUGAUAUUCUGACAACAUUGAGGAGAAACUUGGACAUUCCAAUUACCUGUAAGAUUCGACUUUUAAAGUCAUCCCAGGAUACUGUGGAGUUAGCUAGACGAAUAGAAACUACUGGUGUUUCAGCUCUUGGUGUUCAUGGAAGAAGAGUUGCAGAUAGACCAAGAGAUCCGGCUAAGUGGAGUGAGAUUGCAGAUGUUGUGGCAGCAUUGACUAUUCCUGUUAUUGCAAAUGGUGAUAUCUUUGAGUUUGAUGAUUUUCAACGGAUCAAAGUUCAUACAGGUGCUUCCUCAAUGAUGGUUGCUCGAGGAGCUCUUUGGAAUGCUUCAAUCUUCUCUCCAGAAGGAAAAUUACCAUGGGAAGAUGUGAAAAGAGAAUAUGUUAGGAAGGUGAGAGCAUCUUGUGGGAUAAUGAUAUCAAAGGUACAAAGCACACGCUAAAAGAAAUGAUAAUGCAUUAUUCUUGCCUUGAACUGCCAGAAGGAAAGGCCUUGAUAAAAUCUGAAUCAUUGGCAGAUAUAGCGAAACUUUAUGGUGAGGAAAAUUACUAUCAAUUUGUUCAAGAGAACCGGUUGUUCAACGGAAGUAGAUGACGAUGUUUCCUAGUUCAACUUCCAAUCAAAGAUGCUUGUUCCUAUACUUCAAUAUAGAAACCGAUGAGCUCUCAGUAAAACCCAUUUAAUUGAUUAUACAGAUACAUCAGGUAUAUUACUGUAUCAUCCUUUGGAAUAGUAUGAUGUUGAAUGCUUACGGCAGCAUUAUAAUUAUAUUAAUAUAUUUUUUCGCCUUUCACUCUUAUAAUGUUGAAAACACCGAGUUAGUUACCUGCCACAGUUAAUGUCAGUGAUUAUAUCCAAUAGACACUUCGGAAACGAAAUGGCACAGUUAUUACCGUUA